Molecule: unclassified non-coding RNA, 2365 nt
Filed under: Hevea brasiliensis (rubber tree)
Lineage: Eukaryota; Viridiplantae; Streptophyta; Magnoliopsida; Malpighiales; Euphorbiaceae
Source: RNAcentral
CUUUGGGCAAACCAAACCCGGUUGAAAAGAGUGGAAGGAAGCUCUAAACGACGAAGGCAUGCGAUUUAGGCUUUUUGCGACAAUCUACUCCUUAUUUAUUGAUUAAUCAUCAAAAUCUGAAAUUUAACAGUUGAUUGCUCGGUUCUUUUGCAAUUAAAUCAAAAUUAUCUUAGUCGACUCUGUGAUCUUAGACAUGACUGAGUAUUGGGUUAGCCAAGGUAAUAAAUGGUGCGACUUCUGCAAAAUCUACAUAUCAAACAAUCCUUCCAGCAUUAGGAACCAUGAGCUUGGCCAACGUCAUAAGGAAAAUGUUUCCAAGAGGCUUGCUUCUAUGAGAAAAGAGAAUGCUGCCAAGGAGAAGCAACAGAAGGAAGCAGCCCGCGCCCUUGAGCAAAUUGAAGUUAAAGCUAAGCGUAGCUAUCAGAAGGAUGUUGCAAAUUUUCAGGAGGCAAGCAAUGUCCAUGCAUUAGAUAUUCAAGAGGAUGGUCAAGAGGAAUGGGAGUGUGACAAAACUUCAGGCUAUUACUACAACCAAAGCACUGGGUUACACUAUGAUCCAAAAUCAGGCUUUUAUUAUACCGAUGCUUUGGGCAAGUGGGUGACUCAAGAAGAGGCAUAUGCUUCAAUUCAGGUUUCAUCAAAUUCCAAGCGUAAAGAAUCCAGUUUGAAAAAGCCUAUAACAAUGUCAACAGCAGGUUUAGUAAAGGAAACCAAAAGUGCUGCUCAAAAUGGGCCCCCACCUGGUCCUGUUGUUUCAGCUUCUUUAAACCCUAUGAGAUCUGUUAAAGGAGCUACUUCAGCAGUUGCUGUUAACAAGAGAAAGAGGCAGGAUGAGAAGCCAAAGGUUAUAUCUGAAGGAGAAAAAGCUGCACUUAAAGCUAGGGAGGCUGCAAAGAAGAGAGUUGAGGAGAGGGAGAAAUCUUUGCUUGGCCUUUACAAACGUUGAUUUGGAAUGCACUCAAGGGUAUGCUCUUCGCAUUUUCUUUCAGAAUUUUACCCAAAGUUUGAAUAACAAAAUAUGAUAUUGCGUUUGGAUGAACUUGAAUUUGGGAUACUUGAAUAUGAUGAAUUGAUGAUGCAUAUAUUUCGAUGAUUGUUUAGAGUCUAAAAUUUAGGUUAAAUUCAUGAAUUUGAAUAAAAGCUUGUGUAGAUUUGAAAUACUUUUUGAUAUGCAUGAACCAAUAAAUUAAAGAAUGUGCUAACAAUUUAAACUAGAGUAAUGCCUGAACUCCCUCAUUGGAAGUUUAUCCAAUUAUAGCAUAAGUUGAUAUGGAUUCGGUUUUGAAAAAUAUGGAAGAAUUGCUUCCCUAGUGUGUUUCUCAGAUUGAACUGCUGUUCAUCACUGUCAUUCUCUCUUCACUCAUGCAUGAUUUGAUUGCUCUUGUGAUCCUUAUUUUGCAAAGUUGUCGUGAUUGAAGGUCUAAUAAUGUCUUGCUGGCCUGAAUUAUCAAUGCAUAACAAGCCAAAUAAUUCCUUGUUUUUGUUGUGGGCUUUGACCAUAAAUCUUUUGCCUUAAUGUUGACCUUAUUUGCUAAGCAGGAAAAUAUUAUGCCCCACCUAUUAUUUAAACAGCCUUCACUUUAAAAUGUCAAUGGCUGCUUUAACUGACAUAACAUAUAAGGAUGUAGCCUAGGUACACAAGUCCAUAUAACAAAUAAACAUCUAAAUAGCCAAUACCUGGUUCAAACCUUAGACAUCACAUUCUCCCAUCCCCUGCUGUGGGGUACAUCACAUUCUCCCAUCCCCUGCUGUGGGGUUUACCUUAAAGUAAGUUUCAUAACUGAAGGAAAUUAAAGGAGUUGAUCAUAAAUAAGAAAAAAGACCCCAGUAUUAAGCGCAUUUUUACAGGGAAGAGGGCAUAGAGGGAGGCAAUUGUAGUACCAUCUAUAAUACUUACAAAGUUGAUGAGAUGGACUGAAAUUUUGUACAGUGAGUUCCACCAUUCUCAAGUGUGAUGUUGGGAAAAAAUUUUUAGCAUUGCCAAUUUGCCAUGUGGGGCUUAUGGUGGCAACUUUUGCUUGGUGUGUAGUUUGAAAAAAGCAUGGUUGAUGUACACCCAGGCCCUAGUUCACCUUCCUUGGGUAGGGUCAAGCAAGGAACCAUCUAAAGUGAGUGCCUAGUUAUGCUCCUUAGGGGCCUGAGCAAUGGCCAUUCUGUCAUUUCAACCAACCCCAAGCAAGGGAAAUGCUUUUGGCUCGCCCAGAGAAGGGCCAAGGCCAUAUGUAGCAGGUUUAAGAUAAAGAAGAUUGGCCAUUGUCGAUCCCAGACCAAGUGACCUCCGGAAACAGAUUCGGAUUCAGUGACCAAGGGGCAAUAGUUCAUUAUUUUACUUGUGGUUUUUAACUAGUACUGUUGGAUUUUUUUU